UGGGGAAUAUUGGACAAUGGGGGAAACCCUGAUCCAGCAAUGCCGCGUGUGUGAAGAAGGCCUUCGGGUUGUAAAGCACUUUCGGUGGGGAAGAAAUUCUCAAGGGUAAUAUCCUUGGGCGUUGACGUUACCCACAGAAGAAGCACUGGCUAACUCUGUGCCAGCAGCCGCGGUAAUACAGAGAGUGCAAGCGUUAAUCGGAAUCACUGGGCGUAAAGCGCGCGUAGGUGGAUAUUUAAGUCGGAUGUGAAAGCCCUGGGCUUAACCUGGGAAUUGCACCCGAUACUGGGUAUCUUGAGUAUGGUAGAGGGAAGUGGAAUUUCCGGUGUAGCGGUGAAAUGCGUAGAUAUCGGAAAGAACACCAGUGGCGAAGGCGACUUCCUGGACCAAUACUGACACUGAGGCGCGAAAGCGUGGGGAGCAAACAGG
RNAcentral lists this ribosomal RNA (429 nucleotides) under uncultured Coxiella sp. RNAcentral's name for it is "bacterial SSU rRNA". It matches the Rfam family "Bacterial small subunit ribosomal RNA", at positions 355 to 776 of the family's 1533-position model. Lineage: Bacteria; Pseudomonadati; Pseudomonadota; Gammaproteobacteria; Legionellales; Coxiellaceae. The record is from RNAcentral.